CAAUACAUGCAUCAAGCCUUGGCCUUCGGGUUAGGGUGCAAUUAUUGGAGCAAAACCAGUCUCGUACUGUUUGCUAACUCAGGAUAAUUCUGCAUAUCGCAUGGUCUUGUACCGGCGAAGUUUCUUUCAAGUAUCUGCUUUAUCAACUAUCGUUGGUAGUUUAUUGGUCUACCAUGGUGUUGACGGGUAACGGAGAAUCAGGGUUUGACUCCGGAGAGGGAGCCUUAGAAACGGCUACCAUGUCUAAGGAUAGCAGCAGGCGCGAAAAUUACCCAAUAUCAAAACGAUGAGGUAGUGACGAGAAAUAACAAGAUCGUUCUCUUUGAGAUCGAUUAUUGGAAUGAGUACAAUCCAGAAAUUUUAACGAGUACCUACGAGAGGGCAAGUCUGGUGCCAGCAGCCGCGGUAAUUCCAGCUCUCGUAAUGUAUAGAAUUAUUGUUGCGAUUAAAAAGUUCGUAGUUGGAUUGCAACGCAGGUAUGGGUCCACCUUCUGGGUGCGUACUCAAUGCCUGCAUUUUGCAUGUUUUUGUGGCGUCGCUUCGGUGGCGUUCAUGAUGCAUGCAGGAUUACUUUGAACGGCUCAAGUGCUUAAAGCAAGUCUUAUGACUGAAUACCGGUGCAUGGAAUAAUGGAACAAGGUUGUGGCUGAGUUUUAUUGGUUUUGUCGGCUAAAACAAUGGUUAACAGGAACAGCCGGGGGCAUUCGUAUCGCUGCGCGAGAGGUGAAAUUCGUGGACCGUAGCGAGACGUCCUACAGCGAAGGCAUUUGCCAAGAGUGUUUUCAUUAAUCAAGAACGAAAGUCAGAGGUUCGAAGGCGAUUAGAUACCGCUCUAGUUCUGACCGUAAACGAUGCCAACUGUCGAUCCGCUUGUGGAUUUUAUUCAUGAGCGGGGAGAUUUCCGGAAACGAAAGUUUUUCGGUUUCGGGGGAAGUAUGGUUGCAAAGCUGAAACUUAAAGGAAUUGACGGAAGGGCACCACCAGGAGUGGAGCUUGCGGCUUAAUUUGACUCAACACGGGAAAUCUCACCCGGCCAGUACAUCGUAAGGAUUGACAGACUGACAGCUCUUUCAUGAUUCGGUGAAUGGUGGUGCAUGGCCGUUCUUAGUUCGUGGAUUGAUUUGUCUGGUUUAUUCCGAUAACGAACGAGACUUUAACUAUUAAAUAGUGCGCAUGUUGCUUCGGCUGCGUGUGAUCACUUCUUAAAGGAAUUUGUGGUUUUCAACCUCAAGAAAUUGAGCAAUAACAGGUCUGUGAUGCCCUUAGAUGUUCGGGGCCGCACGCGUGCUACAAUGGUGGUAACAGCGUGAUUGUCCUUUUCCGACAGGAAUUGGCAAACAGUUGAGAUAUUAUUAUGGCUGGAAUUGAGUGUUGAAAUUUUCUCUCAUGAACGAGGAAUUCCAAGUAAAUGUGAGUCAUUAACUUGCAUUGAUUACGUCCCUGCCCUUUGUACACACCGCCCGUCGCUGCCCGGGACUGAGUUACUUCGAGAAAACUAGGGAUCGUUGGAGUUCGAUGUUUCGGCAUUGUCUUUGGUGAGAACUAGUUUAAUCGCAGUGGCUUGAACCGGGCAAAAGUCGUAACAAGGUAGCCGUAGGUGAACCUUCGGCUGGAUCAUUA
This 1620-nucleotide ribosomal RNA is filed under the name Bursaphelenchus fraudulentus. RNAcentral's name for it is "SSU rRNA". It matches the Rfam family "Eukaryotic small subunit ribosomal RNA". The record is from RNAcentral. Lineage: Eukaryota; Metazoa; Nematoda; Chromadorea; Rhabditida; Aphelenchoididae.